Molecule: long non-coding RNA, 1701 nt
Filed under: Mus musculus (house mouse)
Lineage: Eukaryota; Metazoa; Chordata; Mammalia; Rodentia; Muridae
Description: Kccs
Source: RNAcentral
ACUUGGCAUCAGCAAUAGUGUCUGGGUUUGGCGUCUGUCUGUGGGAUGGAUCCCCAGGUAGGGCAGUCUCUGGAUGGCCUUUCCUUUACUCUCUGUUCCACUCUUUGUCCCUGUAUUUCCUUUAUAUAGGAGCAAUUAUGGAAUAAAAUUGUGGAGAUGGGUGGGUGGCCCCAUCUUUCAACUGGGGGGAGGGUCAUGCCUAAUCUCUGGAUAUGGUCUCGACUGAUUCUCCUUCCCUUUCGUCGAGUAUUUCAGCUAAUGUACUUGAUGUACCCUUGGAGUCCUGAGGGGCUCUUGCUUUCCUGGCAUCUGGGACUUUCUGGUUGCUACCCCCAGUUCCCCAUCCCUCAUUGCUCUACACCUCUGUUAAAUUUUCUAAACUUCUGUACAAUCUUCCAUCUCCUUUGAUACCUGGUUCUGCCCCUCUUCUUUCCCCAACCCUCCUCUUCCUCCCAUGUCCCUCCUACCCUCUACUUCCUUUCAUUAUAUUGUUCCCCCUUCUAAGUAGGACUGAAGCAUCUACUCUUUGGUCUUCCUCCCUCAUGAGCUCCAUGUGAUUUGUGAGUUGUAUCAUGGGUAAUUUUUUUAGCUAAUAUUGUGGGAACUAAAAAAGGGCCUGGGGAAAGGGGGCAAGGGAGGAUAGCCCACGUACAGCCAGAGUUCCACCUGUGCUCUGGACAGGCAGACAUGGGAGGGCUGCCAGACACUUUCACUCAGCCCCGGGUGAGCAUCCAAGACUCUGACCUACUGGGGGGGUGGACAAGGGGCAGCACCCCCAAACCAAAAGGGGCCCCGGGGUACACCCUGUAGUCUGGGGUUAUGGGAGAGAGGGUUAAGGGAAGAGAGGUUCCCACGCAUGCGAGAGUGAGUGCAGCCUUGAUGAGCAGAGACUGUUUAUGAUUUUAGAGCUUUAUUAUAGAAAGGCAGGGGGAAAGAGAGAAGGUAAAAGAGAGAGAGAGUGGUUGGCCAUGGCCAAGAGGAGACAAAGGGGGAAAGGAGGGGGGUAGGCUAGAGAGAAAGAGAAUAAGAGGGAGAAAGUGAGAGGAGAGGAGAGGAGAGGAGAGGAGAGGAGAGGAGAGGAGAGGAGAGGAGAGGAGAGGAGAGGAGAGGAGUAAGAGCAAGAGAACAAAGGAGUGAGAGAGCAAGGAGGGGACAAACAGCCCCUAUCUUUUCUGUUGCUAGGUAACUGGGGAAGAGUUUAGCCUGAAGGUCAGAAGCUUGGGACAUUGCCUUCUUGACUAUUAGCCAUGCUUCUUUUGUGGGUGCUGAGGGGGGGCAGUAACUUAGACAGGAGCCAGAGUUCCAGGAGCAUGAGUGAACUCCUACUGUGUCAUGUAGAUGAAUUAUCACCAUUCCAGGCUUCAGACCUCAGCUCAACUAGAAAUCAGACUGUGUAUAGCCCAAUGCCCCACAUAAUAUCAUGGGUAAUAUUUUGCUCUUUGCCUAAUAUCCACUUAUCAGUGAGUACAUACCAUGUGUAUUAUUUUGUGUUUUCCUGUAAUUCUUUAAGGGAUUUUUGUGUUUCCUCUUUAGGGACUAAUGCCUAUUUACCUGUGUUCUCCUGCAUUUCUUUAAGGGAGUUAUUUAUGUCCUUCUUAAAGUCCUCUAUCAUCAUUAUGAGAUGUGAUAUUAAUCAGAGUCUUACUUUUCGGGUGUUUUGGAGUAUCCAGGCCUCACUGUGUUGGGAGAACUGGGUUCUGA